AGUAACACGUGAGUGACCUGCCUUUUAGACUGGAACAACUUACCGAAAGGUGAGCUAAUGCCGGAUGAGUUAUAUAAGUGCAUGUUUAUAUAGGAAAAGUUGGGGAGACCUGACGCUGAAAGAUGGACUCGCGUCCCAUUAGCUAGUUGGUAGGGUAAUGGCCUACCAAGGCGACGAUGGGUAGCCGGCCUGAGAGGGUGGCCGGCCACACUGGGACUGAGACAUGGCCCAGACUCCUACGGAAGGCAGCAG
This 252-nucleotide ribosomal RNA is filed under the name uncultured bacterium. RNAcentral describes it as "partial 16S ribosomal RNA". It matches the Rfam family "Bacterial small subunit ribosomal RNA", at positions 109 to 354 of the family's 1533-position model. The record is from RNAcentral.